GAUCAUUACCGAGUGUAGGGUUCCUAGCGAGCCCAACCUCCCACCCGUGUUUACUGUACCUUAGUUGCUUCGGCGGGCCCGCCAUUCAUGGCCGCCGGGGGCUCUCAGCCCCGGGCCCGCGCCCGCCGGAGACACCACGAACUCUGUCUGAUCUAGUGAAGUCUGAGUUGAUUGUAUCGCAAUCAGUUAAAACUUUCAACAAUGGAUCUCUUGGUUCCGGCAUCGAUGAAGAACGCAGCGAAAUGCGAUAACUAGUGUGAAUUGCAGAAUUCCGUGAAUCAUCGAGUCUUUGAACGCACAUUGCGCCCCCUGGUAUUCCGGGGGGCAUGCCUGUCCGAGCGUCAUUGCUGCCCAUCAAGCACGGCUUGUGUGUUGGGUCGUCGUCCCCUCUCCGGGGGGGACGGGCCCCAAAGGCAGCGGCGGCACCGCGUCCGAUCCUCGAGCGUAUGGGGCUUUGUCACCCGCUCUGUAGGCCCGGCCGGCGCUUGCCGAACGCAAAUCAAUCUUUUUCCAGGUUGACCUCGGAUCAGGUAG
This 534-nucleotide unclassified non-coding RNA is filed under the name Aspergillus flavus. Its description in RNAcentral is "sequence contains 18S rRNA gene, ITS1, 5.8S rRNA gene, ITS2, 28S rRNA gene". The stretch from base 191 to 344 matches the Rfam family "5.8S ribosomal RNA". The record is from RNAcentral. Lineage: Eukaryota; Fungi; Ascomycota; Eurotiomycetes; Eurotiales; Aspergillaceae.